GAGGUAGUAGUUCAUUUGGUUAGAAUACUGGUUUGUCAAACCAGUGGUAACGAGUUCAACUCUCGUCUAUCUCG
Molecule: transfer RNA, 74 nt
Filed under: Candidatus Vidania fulgoroideorum
Lineage: Bacteria; Pseudomonadati; Pseudomonadota; Betaproteobacteria
Description: tRNA-Asp
Rfam family: tRNA
About the family: Transfer RNA (tRNA) molecules are approximately 80 nucleotides in length. Their secondary structure includes four short double-helical elements and three loops (D, anti-codon, and T loops). Further hydrogen bonds mediate the characteristic L-shaped molecular structure. tRNAs have two regions of fundamental functional importance: the anti-codon, which is responsible for specific mRNA codon recognition, and the 3' end, to which the tRNAs corresponding amino acid is attached (by aminoacyl-tRNA synthetases). tRNAs cope with the degeneracy of the genetic code in two manners: having more than one tRNA (with a specific anti-codon) for a particular amino acid; and 'wobble' base-pairing, i.e. permitting non-standard base-pairing at the 3rd anti-codon position.
Source: RNAcentral